Long non-coding RNA from Perca flavescens (yellow perch), 1477 nucleotides. RefSeq lists it as uncharacterized. Lineage: Eukaryota; Metazoa; Chordata; Actinopteri; Perciformes; Percidae. The record is from RefSeq and is a predicted model, not a curated record. The transcript has 4 exons.
CAAUAUUUGUUAGAAAUAGGUCUUUUGUGUACAUAGAAAAAGUGUUAGAUCUUUGAGUUCAGCUCAUGAGAAUGGGGGCAAAAACAAAAGAAUUGCGGUUAUAAUUUUGUUCAGCGUAUAUUCCCAGAACAAAGUGAGUAUGAAUCAGGGCUUGCAGGAGAGGGAACAACUGGACCAUAAUGAUACUUCUCCUUCAAAGCACCGCUGUGAGCAGGGUUUGAACCUGCGUGGGGAAACCCCAUUGGAUUCCAACGCCUUAACCACUCGGCCAUCACAGCCCUCCGUAGAGUCUUAGUCUGUGUGGCAUCUCGUCUCGCUGUCUCCAACCUCCGUCUCCCCUCUAAAGGGCUGCCAGCAGCAGGCCACAUCAUCAGGACAUGACUCGCUGCUGUUCUCCUCCGCUCCGCCAGCUCGGACUCCGCUUCAGGGUCAAAGGUCGCCUCCGGAGACCUCAACAUGGACACCUGAACACAACACACCAGAUGAAAUGCUGUAACAACCCACAAGUAAAGAAGUGGUUCUCAUUGAGCAGCGUCCCGCUCGUCAGUCUCAGGACGUCCAGCUGCCGGAUCAGAUCCGAUGACUCGGCGCUCUGCAUUGCUACGGCAACGCCACCUGAUGUCUGCGCCAGGAGACCCUGCGUGUCCUGGAGACAAGACGACGACGCAGAUGCAGUUAGUUCAUUUGAAUAAUCCAGCUGCACCAGUUGUUGUUCUUGAUCGCUGAUGAGGCUCUGGAGCUCCGGCAGUGUUUGGAUCUUCAGAUCCUCAUCCAUACACCUCAGAUCGCUCAGCUCUGCCUCCACGCGCCCACGCUGCUCACGCUGCUUCUCACACCUGUUCACACAGCAGAGGAUUAUGGGAUAUACGUCUACAUGUGGAUUAUACCGGGGGCAGAGCAUGUGUGCGUGCGUGCGCGUGUGUUGUAGGUGUUUCUGGAUCUACCUGAUGUUGAAGUCGUGAAUGGUGAGCUCUGCACCGAGCAGCUGCAGCUUCACCUGAGCCUGGGCCGAGAGAGCCUCACUUAUCUCAGAGAGAGAGAGAGAGAUAGUGAACACUUUAGAGGUUGCAUAAGAAGUAGAAAGAUGUAUUUUUAUGAUUUGGCAACAUUGUUAUUGAAACUUUCAUGCCAAUAAAGGCCCUUUGAAUUAAAUUGACAAUUCACAGGUUUAGCAUUUGUAAUUUUAUACUGAAGUUUAAUAUUAACAACACACCUAACAUCCUGUAUGUUAUGGCUACAGGUGUGUGAGUAUAAAACAGGUUUGCAGGGAAAAAGCAACUGGACAAUAGUUACAUUCUCCUGCUAAUAGAUACUGUGAGCAGGGUUUGAACCUACACAGGGAAACCCAACGCCUUAACCACUCAGCCAUCACAGCUCUCAGAAGUCUUUCAUGUAGGUAGGUAGGUAGGUAGGUAAGGUAUGAUAAACGUCAAAAUCGGCCAACAAAGCAUCAACAAAGUGACCAAACUGUUGAAAA